AGAGAAAGGGGAAAACAAAUCGUCGCCUGAGAGAUUCGAACUCUCGCGGGGAAACCCCAUGUACUUAGCAGGCACACGCCUUAACCACUCGGCCAAAGCGACGGUUUACAAAUGAUUAUCUGAUAAAAGUUUAGAGUAAUAAAAUCCAAAUUCACCUUCGAAAUAUCGAGCUGGGAGGGGGUUUGAAAAGGGUAAGUAGGGUGAAGACUGUGUCGAACUGGCGGAGGUGGCAGCAGGAAGGAGGAUAUGGCCGUGGAGGUGGAGGUGGCGGCCGAUGGAAGUUCUGAUGGGUCAUCUGGAUUUUGUUCCAUUUCAGCGAAAAGUAGACCAUAAAUUCAUAACUGAUUGGACUUCAUUGAAUCCAUGAUUUUAGGGGCAGUUUCAGUUUCUUAGUACAGGUAAUUGAAACAAAAUCAAUGCCUGUUUUUGCCCUCGUUCUUCUUCAGAAUCAGUAAAAUGGGUUUAACUUAUAAAUGUUGACAUUGAGUUGAUUCCUGAAGUUCACAUUGCUUAUUAUGUCCUAUGACCUAUCUUCUGUAUAUUUAUGUUGUGAUUAUGGAAUAUAUCCAUAUUGUUAGUUUGA
This is a long non-coding RNA of Olea europaea var. sylvestris, 583 nucleotides long. RefSeq lists it as uncharacterized. The transcript has 2 exons. The record is from RefSeq and is a predicted model, not a curated record. NCBI's taxonomy places the organism in Eukaryota, Viridiplantae, Streptophyta, Magnoliopsida, Lamiales, Oleaceae.